This 1551-nucleotide ribosomal RNA is filed under the name Triticum aestivum (bread wheat). RNAcentral describes it as "partial small subunit ribosomal RNA". The record is from RNAcentral. Lineage: Eukaryota; Viridiplantae; Streptophyta; Magnoliopsida; Poales; Poaceae.
AUGUGCUUCAUGUUUGACCCUUUUUCUACUAGUGCCCGUAGGCUUAUCUCGGGCGGUCCCGACGGCCUUGUCUAUGCCGACGGCCCCGUCAGCAUAGAUUUAUGUAUGCCGACGGCUUUUCUACGCCUACGGCCCAUCCUUGGCCGUCGGCAUAGGUGCGGCGAUGCCGACGGCGAUUUGGCCGUCGGCAAACCCGGUUUUUCUGGUAGUGUGCCCAUGAUACGAGACCCGGCCGGGUUCUGGGACACACAGGUGGCCCGGGCAAACAAGUCCGGCACCGCGGCUGACUUGGUGGUCGGCCAGUUCAUCGUCUUCAUCCGCGACUCGGAGCUAUCCCACCGCGUCUUGGCCAACGUCCGCCCCGACGCCUUCCAGUUCGUCGGCCACCCUUUCGGCAAGAAGCUCUUUGGUAUCUUCUACCUGUUCGGCGACGAGCACAAGGACCUGCGCUGUAGGAUGGCGCCCAACUUCACGCCGCGCACUCUUUCAACCUACGCCGCCGUCCAGCAGCGCAUCAUCCUCGCCCACAUCCGGAGGUUGCUAGACCGGAACCGGAGCUCAGCCGCGACGCCGACGCCCAUACCCAUACAGGUAACCUGCCGCAACAUAAACCUUGAGACCUCACAGACGGUCUUCGUAGGGCCGUACCUCACCGAGGAGGCGAGGCAGAGAUUCGACAAGGGCUACGCUCUCUUCAACGCGGGUCUCCUGGCAAUGCCCGUGGACCUGCCCGGGUUCGCCUUCAGACGGGCGAAGCUGGCCGUGGCGCGCCUGGUGCGCACGCUCGGGCAGUGCGUACGGCAGAGCAAGGCACGGAUGCGCGCCGGCGGCGAGCCGGAGUGCCUCGCUGACUACUGGAUGCAGGCACUGGUGAAAGAGAUGGACGCGGACGCGACGCCUCCCAUGCACACCGAUGACGUCGAGCUUGGGGGCUUUCUGUUCGACUUCCUCUUCGCCGCCCAGGACGCGUCCACCUCUUCGCUCUGCUGGGCUGUCUCCGCCCUCGCGUCCCACCCAGACGUCCUCGCCCGCGUGCGCGCCGAGGUGUCCGCGAUCUGGUCGCCGGAGUCUGGGGAGCCCAUCACCGGCGAGAUGAUCCAGCAAAUGAAGUAUGUUGGCCCUGUCCCGAUGCCGAGUGGUCCGGUACCGUCCUUGGCGGCGCUGGUGCCGCACAUUGCCGCGGAGCCGUUCCAGCUGACGGAGUGGUACACGGUGCCAAAGGGCGCCAUCGUCUUCCCGUCGGUGUACGAGUCGUCGUUCCAGGGGUUCACCGCGGCGGACGAGUUCGACCUGGAUCGCUUCUUCUCGGAGGAGCGCAGGGAGGACGUGGUGUGCAAGCGCAACUUCCUGGCCUUCGGCGCUGGCGCGCACCAGUGCAUGGGCCAGCGCUACGCCCUCAACCACCUCGCGCUUUUCAUGGCACUCUUCGUCUCCGUCGUCGACUUCAAGCGGGACCGGACGGAGGGGUGCGACGAGCUGGUGUACGCGCCGGCCAUCAUGCCUAGGGAUGGCUGCGCCGUCUACCUCCAGCAGCGUUGCUCUUCCUUCUGA